UACGUAGGCAGCAAGCGUUGUUCGGAGUUACUGGGCGUAAAGGGUGCGUAGGCGGCUUUUUAAGUUUGGUGUGAAAUCUCCCGGCUCAACUGGGAGGGUGCGCCGAAUACUGAGAGGCUAGAGUGUGGGAGAGGAAAGUGGAAUUCCUGGUGUAGCGGUGAAAUGCGUAGAUAAUCAGGAGGAACACCGGUGGUGUAAACGGCUUUCUGGACCAUAACUGACGCUGAGGCACGAAAGCGUGGGUAGCAAACAGG
This 254-nucleotide ribosomal RNA is filed under the name uncultured bacterium. RNAcentral's name for it is "partial 16S ribosomal RNA". It matches the Rfam family "Bacterial small subunit ribosomal RNA", at positions 524 to 776 of the family's 1533-position model. The record is from RNAcentral.